This 90-nucleotide transfer RNA is filed under the name Moniliophthora perniciosa FA553. It matches the Rfam family "tRNA". Rfam says of the family: Transfer RNA (tRNA) molecules are approximately 80 nucleotides in length. Their secondary structure includes four short double-helical elements and three loops (D, anti-codon, and T loops). Lineage: Eukaryota; Fungi; Basidiomycota; Agaricomycetes; Agaricales; Marasmiaceae. The record is from Rfam by way of RNAcentral.
UCCGUUAUGGUGUAGUGGCUAACAUUAUCGCCUCUCAUGAAAGUUUGGAGUUUGACGCGAUAGCCCAGGGUUCGAUUCCCUGUAACGGAA